ACAUCCAGAGAAUUUAGCAGAGAUGCUUUAGUGCCUUCGGGAACUCUGAGACAGGUGCUGCAUGGCUGUCGUCAGCUCGUGUUGUGAAAUGUUGGGUUAAGUCCCGNAACGAGCGCAACCCUUAUCCUUUGUUGCCAGCACGUAAUGGUGGGAACUCAAAGGAGACUGCCGGUGAUAAACCGGAGGAAGGUGGGGAUGACGUCAAGUCAUCAUGGCCCUUACGAGUAGGGCUACACACGUGCUACAAUGGCGCAUACAAAGAGAAGCGACCUCGCGAGAGCAAGCGGACCUCAUAAAGCGCGUCGUAGUCCGGAUUGGAGUCUGCAACUCGACUCCAUGAAGUCGGAAUCGCUAGUAAUCGUAAAUCAGAAUGUUACGGUGAAUACGUUCCCGGGCCUUGUACACACCGCCCGUCACACCAUGGGAGUGGGUUGCAAAAGAAGUAGAUAGCUUAACCUUCGGGAGGGCGUUUACCACUUUGUGAUUCAUGACUGGGGUGAAGUCGUAACAAGGUAGGCGUAGUGCU
This 526-nucleotide ribosomal RNA is filed under the name uncultured bacterium. RNAcentral's name for it is "bacterial SSU rRNA". It matches the Rfam family "Bacterial small subunit ribosomal RNA", at positions 984 to 1509 of the family's 1533-position model. The record is from RNAcentral.